This is a long non-coding RNA of Perca fluviatilis (European perch), 1018 nucleotides long. RefSeq lists it as uncharacterized. The transcript is spliced from 3 exons. Lineage: Eukaryota; Metazoa; Chordata; Actinopteri; Perciformes; Percidae. The record is from RefSeq and is a predicted model, not a curated record.
UGUUACAAACCCGAUCCUUCCUGUAACGGAACCGGGUUGAGUGUUGCUGCUGGCUCUGUGUAGCUGUACUAUCGGCACUGUCGGUGUAUUGGUGCAAAGCUCCUUGACGGGGUUGUAAAAUUGCUUCGCUUGCGCUGGUAUCUGCACUAGCCCCUCCAUUCCCUGCCACGCUGCUGUUUUGUCUCAACCACUGUCAACGGGUUGUAACCACACAAGCUCACGCCAGGCUUUGAACGCCUCUACGCGCCUUUCAGCGCCAGGAUCUGUUGCCCAAAGUGUCCGACAGGGCUGUAUUUGAGUGAUCGUGACACGGACGAUAGCUUUGCCUUUCUUUGGCUUGCCCGUGCUUACUAAUGUGUAUGGAGAUUGGGGUUUAUGUUUAUGGGUUUAUUUGUUAAAUUAUGAUUAAGUGAUUUUUGGUUAAUUUAUAUUUCUUUUUGUUUAAGUCCUGAUAAAAGACUCAUUUCUGUUGAAACUUUAUGAUUUAUCUGUUAAUCUUUUGUUUGGCUCCAGGCAGCUCGGAUUAAGUGAUCUUUGGUUGAUUUUUAUUUCUGUUUAAGUUAUGAUAACGACUUUCAUUUUUGUUGAGACCUUUAUGGUUUAUUUGUUAAUUUUGGUUAUUUAUUAGGCUCUAGGCAGCUAUUUAGACACCUUUGCUGCCUAGAUUUGCCUUAGAUUGAAGUUGUUUUUCAUUUAUUUUUGGUUUGAUUUAUUCCCCCCCCCCCAAUAACUGAAUGUUCUUCUCCUAUAGGUGCUGAGUGCCGAAGGUGGUGAUGUCGGUGUCCCCGGUGGUGGUGUCUCCCUCCUGUGUGCUGUGUUUUCCCCCUUGGUUUAUUUUGAGUUUUUCACCACUGUGUGUGUGUGUGUGUGUGUGCGUGCUCACGUGUGACUGGGGUGAUCCUUCACUGAGACCCCACACCCUUUGACCCUGUCCCUCCACCGGUAAGGCCUCAGCACUUAUUUCCCACAUUUAGUAGGUCUGGUAUUUUAAAUAGUAUUUUAUAUUUGAUGUUUUAGU